GGGCGGAACUGUGUAAAAAUGUUGAUAAUUGAUAUCUUGCAGGGGGAGGGUUUAGAGACAGACACCGAACAUGGCGGCGCUCGGCAGCCGUGCAAAUCGCCCAGAAAACGGCGAAAAACAAAGCAAAUCUCCUCUCGUAUCUCCUCUGAAAGUGCGAGAACUUCUAAACGAAGGGGUAGCCUCGGAAGACAACGUGUUUAAUUGUUCGCAGCAGGAUUCAAGCACACUGUCUCCGAAUGGCCUUGGGAAAGCUCCAUGUGAGGCAGCAAACAAAGAAGCAUUUUUCAACAGAGUAGAAUCCUACUCCUGUCUGAAAUGGGCCGGAAAGCCCCGUGUGCUCUCGCCGCUGAGAUGUGCACGGUACGGCUGGAUCAACGUAGACUGUGAUAUGCUGAAGUGUUCUAGUUGCCAGGCUUUUCUCUGUGCAUCAAUCCAAGCAACACUGGACUUCCAGAAAUAUGAAGGACGUAUUUCGGAGUUGCUACAGCAGCUUCAAACGCAACAUGAGAAAUUCUGUUCCUGGCCAGAUUUUCCAUGUCCAGAUCGCUUCUGGAUGGUUCCUAUUAAUGAGCCUACGAUACUACUCAGUGCCUUUGUAGACCGUUUCAAGAGUGCUUGCCUUCUAGAACAGCAGCUGCCUGCUAUGAAGCCAGAGCAACUCAAAGCCAUGAGCUUAACCGAAGAUGUUGUAAGUGUCCUCCUGCAGCUGAUUGAAGAUGAGCAAGUGAAGCAAGGUGGUUCUCCCUCUAAGGUCUCAUCAGAUCCACUCUCUGUACAGGUGGCAGCAUGCAUUGUAGCCCUUUGUGGUUGGGCAGCCAGCCCGUCACUACACAAUAUGAAUCUGCCCAUCCUCACUUGUUCAUACUGCAUGAGAAAAGUAGGGAUGUGGAACUUUUAUCAAAUGGAGACUGUUUCAGAGGGUGAAAUCCCUCCGCAGUCUCCAACAUCCACUACCGCCUUGACUCCAACUCAAGGCACAAGUGGGGAAAAGGGAACGCCCACCUCACCAUCCCAAUCCCCUACACCAUGUCGCAUGAAGCUGCGUAGUCAAGAUUCCACACGCUCUGAGCAGAUUGAGACUACAUCAUCUCCACUGGUUCCCCGCACAAGAAUCAGAGACUCCCCUAUCCCACAUGAAGAGCUUCCGAGUCCCUUGCCCAGGGGCAAGAGACCAAUGACCCGCAGCAGGGGCCAAGGAGAGAACCUGGCCAUGGAUGUGCCCUCUAGUCCACAGCGAAAGACAAAACGCCCACGUCUCUCCUCUGCCAGUGGCUCUGAAGGGCCCAUGCACAGACAUGUGUUUGACCCAGUAGCUCAGCACAGAGACUGGUGUCCUUGGGUGAGUGUGGAAAAAGAGAAGGGCAAUCUAGAUGGCUCUGUCUUUGUUGGCUCUGAGGCAGAACUCCCUCAACCAGGCUGGAAAGCAGCGCUCACCCUGUUCUUAUCCAUGAAAAGAAGCCUCAGUCCAGCAGGAGCCAGUCCAUCUCAGGGCCCUCAUGACAAAUCAAAAAGGGUGUUCUCAAUAUUCCGACAGUGGCAGGUAUCCUCCCAGUAAGCCAGUAAGUUGCACUUCAGAAGGUGGACUGGCAAACCCCGGUGACGUUAUUCUAGUGUUAUGGGUUUGGUUGGGAAAGGGACAGUAAAUCCACACGGAUCAAGCGGCCUGUGCUGAAAGACCUUGCCUUGGAGCAGGAAAGCCCAGCAGAGUUCUUCUCAGAAAUUGUAACUUUACCACACUGUUUUGAAUCUGGGCCUGUCCAGUCGGCAUUCAAACAUCAACAGACCGGUGCUCUUUACCUCGCAUGGACUGCCGAAUAGUCCUUGCCACCUCAGGCUUUAAGGUUUUAGCCUAAUUUAGGGAAGCUUUAGUGAAGCUUCUAGACCUACACUGGAAGACAUGCUAGUUUUAUCAUCGCUGGACAGUUUUCAGAUUAGCCAAGGAUUUUUCUGCAUUGUUUAAGUAGGUAUAUGAUAUUUACUUCCAUAAAUGUGAAUGAGCCGAAUCUCAUUUUUAAAGAUGUUUAUCACCUUUUCCCCCACUUGCCAGCUGCCAUAUUUAGAAAAGAGUGCCAAUGUAAAUGGUUUUGCUUUUAGACCACUUUCUCUGUAAGUGCUGCCUGUAGUGUCCUUGCAUGCGAAUCUUGCGCAUCUCUACCUAAAUUGAAUAAACAUUUUGCUGGUUUUCACUA
This is an RNA transcript of Megalobrama amblycephala (Wuchang bream), 2189 nucleotides long. It is a transcript of the gene named zinc finger, C3HC-type containing 1, with no coding region annotated. The record is from RefSeq and is a predicted model, not a curated record. The transcript is spliced from 11 exons. NCBI's taxonomy places the organism in Eukaryota, Metazoa, Chordata, Actinopteri, Cypriniformes, Xenocyprididae.